RNAcentral lists this non-coding RNA (46 nucleotides) under Schistosoma mansoni. The record is from RNAcentral. Lineage: Eukaryota; Metazoa; Platyhelminthes; Trematoda; Strigeidida; Schistosomatidae.
AUUCAGUCGACGAGUCCCAGAAAAGAACGAAACGCACGUUCUGGAU